GACGAACGCUGGCGGCGUGCUUAACACAUGCAAGUCGAACGGAAAGGCCCUGCUUUUGUGGGGUGCUCGAGUGGCGAACGGGUGAGUAACACGUGAGUAACCUGCCCUUUACUUUGGGAUAACUUCAGUAAACUGGGGCUAAUACCGGAUAGGAGCUCCUGCUGCAUGGUGGGGUUUGGAAAGUUUCGGCGGUUGGGGAUGUACUCGCGGCUUAUCAGCUUGUUGGUGGGGUAGUGGCUUACCAAGGCUUUGACGGGUAGCCGGCCUGAGAGGGUGACCGGACACAUUGGGAAUGAGAUAAGGCCCAGAAUCAGACGGGAGGAAGCAGUGGGGAAUAUUGCACAAAGGGCGGAAGCCUGAGGCAGGAACGACGCGUGCGGGAUGACGGCCUUCGGGUUGUAAACCGCUUGCGCCUGUGACGAAGCGUGAGUGACGGUAAUGGGUAAAGAAGCACCGGCUAACUACGUG
Molecule: ribosomal RNA, 468 nt
Filed under: uncultured bacterium
Lineage: Bacteria
Description: partial 16S ribosomal RNA
Rfam family: Bacterial small subunit ribosomal RNA
Source: RNAcentral